UUUUUAAAUAUGUUGUUAUGUUUACCAACGACGUGUUUUAUCAUUACAUCUAAAAUGGCUUUACCACCUUUCAAACAAGAAAGAAAAAUAUGUUAUGAAGCAAGAGACAAUUUUUGGAAAUGUUUAGAGCAAAAUAUAGAAGAAACAAAAUGUAAAACUUUAAAAAUAUUAUAUGAAAAAUCUUGUCCAAAACAGUGGGUGGAUCAUUUCAAUAGACAAAGAAAAUUAGAAAUUUACAAGAAAAAUUUUGAUUACACAAAAAUUCAACAAGAUAAAGUGGAAGAAUAAACAAUAAUUAUAUAUUUAAUUGUAUAAUAUUCUUUAAAUUUAAAUACAAUAGUAAUUUAACGAAUUAAUAUGCAAGUUGGUAUUGAUUUCAAGAAGAUCUGGAAAUAAAAAUAAAUUGUAAAUUUUUAAAAUUUGAUAUAAAAUUAUACUUGAU
Long non-coding RNA from Gordionus sp. m RMFG-2023, 442 nucleotides. RefSeq lists it as uncharacterized. Lineage: Eukaryota; Metazoa; Nematomorpha; Gordioida; Chordodea; Parachordodidae. The record is from RefSeq and is a predicted model, not a curated record. The transcript has 3 exons.